This 477-nucleotide ribosomal RNA is filed under the name uncultured bacterium. RNAcentral's name for it is "partial 16S ribosomal RNA". It matches the Rfam family "Bacterial small subunit ribosomal RNA", at positions 30 to 507 of the family's 1533-position model. The record is from RNAcentral.
AUGAACGCUGGCGGCGUGCCUAACCCAUGCCAGUCGAACCGAUUCCAGCCUUUUAUACCUUCGUGUCACAGAGGGGAAGACUGAGUGGCGGACUGUUUAUUAACCCGUUGGCAUCCUUGCUCAUAUUGGGGGAUAACAUUUAGAAAUUUCUUCUAAUACCGCAUAAUCACACUCUGCCGCAUGUCAGAGUGUGAAAAGAGAAUCGCUAUGAGAUGGACCCGCGUCUGAUUAGCCAGUUGGCAGGGUAAGAGCCUACCAAAGCGACGAUCAGUAGCCGAUCAGAGAGGAAGAAAGGAGACAAUGGGAGUGAGACACGGCCGAAAAUACUACGGGAGGGAGGAGUGGGGGAUAUAGCAAAAUGGGGGGAACGCUGAUGAAGCGACGACGGGAGAGUGAAGAAGUAUUUCGGUAAGUAAAGCACUAUAAGAAGGGAAGAUAAUGACAGUACCUGAAUAAGAAGCAACGGCUAACUACGUG